RNAcentral lists this non-coding RNA (31 nucleotides) under Mus musculus (house mouse). The record is from RNAcentral. Lineage: Eukaryota; Metazoa; Chordata; Mammalia; Rodentia; Muridae.
UCUAAAUCUCCCCAAACAGCGUCACCAACUG